GGAGUAUAGUCCUACUUGGAUAACUGUGGUAAUUCUAGAGCUAAUACACGCAAACAAGCUUCAGUCUUACGGCUGUAGCGCAUUUCUUAGUACAAAACCAAUCGGGCCUCGUGCCCGUUGUUUGGUGAAUCUGAAUAACUGAGCCGAUCGCACGGUCUCUGCACCGGCGACGUAUCAUUCAAGUGUCUGCCCUAUCAACUUUCGAUGGUAGUUUAUGUGACUACCAUGGUUAUAACGGGUAACGGAGAAUUAGGGUUCGACUCCGGAGAAGCAGCCUGAGAAACGGCUACUACAUCCAAGGAAGGCAGCAGGCGCGCAAAUUACCCAAUCUCAGUACGAGGAGGUAGUGACGAGAAAUAACGAGGCGGCGCCCUUCUGGGGCUCGCUAUCGGAAUGAGAACAAUUUAAAACCUUUAACGAGGAUCUAGCGGAGGGCAAGUCUGGUGCCAGCAGCCGCGGUAAUUCCAGCUCCGCUAGUGUAUACCACGAGUACUGCGGUUAAAAAGCUCGUAGUUGGAUCUGCGACGAUGGAUGUGGGUCCACCUGAUGGGUGCGUACUUACGUCCGCGUCUUGUUUGUCAGUAUUUCCCAGUGUUCCUUUUACCGGGCGCACUGGGAGACCGACGCUUUUACCUUGAGAAAAUUGGAGUGCUCAGAACAGGCGCUUGCCUGAACAGUUGUGCAUGGAAUAAUGGAAUAGGAUCUUGGUCCUAUUUUGUUGGUUUUAGGGAUUGAGAUAAUGAUUAAGAGGGACAGACGGGGCCAUUCGUAUUGCGACGUUAGAGGUGAAAUUCUUGGAUCGUCGCAAGACGGACAACUGCGAAAGCAUUUGGCAAGAAUGUUUUCAUUAAUCAAGAACGAAAGUUAGAGGUUCGAAAGGCGAUCAGAUACCGCCCUAGUUCUAACCGUAAACGAUGCCAACUAGCGAUCCGUCGAUGUUGUUUUCUGACACGACGGGCAGCUUCCCGGAACGAAAGUCUUCCGG
RNAcentral lists this ribosomal RNA (985 nucleotides) under uncultured eukaryote. RNAcentral describes it as "SSU rRNA". It matches the Rfam family "Eukaryotic small subunit ribosomal RNA", at positions 124 to 1111 of the family's 1831-position model. The record is from RNAcentral.